CCACUGUACCUGGCAGAGUAGAUCCCAUGAUCAAGAAGGUAGGUUGGCCAGGUCGAGGCUUAGCUAUUGCACUUCUUUUGUGCUGAGUCCUGCAAAUUGCCCAAAUGUGGGAUUUAAUUUAAUUGGAUAAUUUCUGGUAGUGCGGGACUACAUUACUACUCUCUCU
Molecule: small nuclear RNA, 166 nt
Filed under: Anabas testudineus (climbing perch)
Lineage: Eukaryota; Metazoa; Chordata; Actinopteri; Anabantiformes; Anabantidae
Description: U1 spliceosomal RNA (ENSATEG00000019645.2)
Rfam family: U1 spliceosomal RNA
About the family: U1 is a small nuclear RNA (snRNA) component of the spliceosome (involved in pre-mRNA splicing). Its 5' end forms complementary base pairs with the 5' splice junction, thus defining the 5' donor site of an intron.
Source: RNAcentral